RNAcentral lists this ribosomal RNA (450 nucleotides) under uncultured bacterium. RNAcentral's name for it is "partial 16S ribosomal RNA". It matches the Rfam family "Bacterial small subunit ribosomal RNA", at positions 354 to 796 of the family's 1533-position model. The record is from RNAcentral.
GUGGGGAAUAUUGGACAAUGGGCGAAAGCCUGAUCCAGCCAUGCCGCGUGUGUGAAGAAGGUCUUCGGAUUGUAAAGCACUUUAAGUUGGGAGGAAGGGCAGUAAGUUAAUACCUUGCUGUUUUGACGUUACCGACAGAAUAAGCACCGGCUAACUUCGUGCCAGCAGCCGCGGUAAUACGAAGGGUGCAAGCGUUAAUCGGAAUUACUGGGCGUAAAGCGCGCGUAGGUGGUUUUGUAAGUUGGAGGUGAAAUCCCCGGGCUCAACCUUGGAACUGCCUCCAAAACUGCAUGACUAGAGUACGGUAGAGGGUAGUGGAAUUUCCUGUGUAGCGGUGAAAUGCGUAGAUAUAGGAAGGAACACCAGUGGCGAAGGCGACUACCUGGACUGAUAAUGACACUGAGGUGCGAAAGCGUGGGGAGCAAACAGGAUUAGAAACCCGUGUAGUCC